Molecule: RNA transcript, 3404 nt
Organism: Brachypodium distachyon (stiff brome)
Lineage: Eukaryota; Viridiplantae; Streptophyta; Magnoliopsida; Poales; Poaceae
Exons: 3
Source: RefSeq, a predicted model, not a curated record
ACUGACGGUGCGUUUAAGAGCCCGCAAGGAGGUAAGCAUCUCCGUAUUGGCACGAAGGGUGGAGAAUGUCUCAUGGCACUGCUCCUACAUAAUGGGGUCUAUUGGGUUUGGUCUUUGGAGUCUCGACAAAUUGAGGUUGCAGACGGCACAGGGACAGGGACAGGAGAUGCAGCUCCCUUCACUGCAGAUUUAUGCAUGCAUUGUACGUGUGUCUUCUCUCCUGCUGGAUGAUGUAUAUCUUCCUGCAUUGUUCUUUCAGAACUUGUUAUUUUUUAUUACCCAUGAAGCGGACAACCUUGCAGUGGAGAUAGAGAAGCAUAUGGUUGCCCGCUUCUCUGUUUUGGAGCUAUAUCUCACAACAAUUGGGCAUGUUUAUGGAGCGCUCAUGUUUCAUCUCCUUGAGAUGAAUCGAGUUCAUAGAUAAAUGCAGAGGCUUAAGGUCGUCCUAUGUAGAUCAACGGAGUAGAAAGAAGCAUGCGAAGCAGAUUGUCCUUGUGAGCCUACCAACUGGAAAACACAAACCAUCUGCUUGACUGCUCUCGAAGAAGUUGAGAUCGACGGCUUUGAAGGAGAAGGUCAUGAACUUGAUUUCCUGAAACUGAUAUUAAGAUGUGUGCCGAAUCUUAGAAGAUUGGUUCUGAAGCUGCCGGACGAUGUCUUCUCGUUAGGGAAGGACGCAUGCAACGGAUUAUUCAAAACCUUGAGUGGUGCGUAUUCUCCCAUGGAAUGCCAUAUCUAUCUUGGCUCUGGCCAGGUAUGUUGUGCAUGUAUAAUUAGCAUGCUUCCUAGGUGCAACAGGGACAUACAUGACUGUGUCUGUAUGUGAAUCUUUUAAGUGUCGUCUAAACCUAAACUCAAGCCGUGAGUGCUGUUCGUAUUGAGACCUGGAGGGUGGAUGGAAUGUGGUUAAAAUUUGGAACUUUAAAACUUCCUCAUUUCCUGUUGCAUUCUGUUCUGGAACCCUUUUUUUUUAAUGCGGGCGUCUUCGCUGUUGUGCUUUAUACAAUCUGCUGUGGCAUUCUGUUUUGCACCUCUGUUCAGUAUAGCCAAUAAAAGAGUUUCAAGAUUAGCUGGUGUCGUCUAAUCUGAAUUCCAUUGGCCUUCAGCUUCGGCAGAAACUUAAAUUCCGUUAAGUUUAUGCUGUCAGCUUGUGCUGUAUACGCUAUUUGGGCCCUGGCCCAAGUGCUAAAGAGCCCACCGGGAGUCCGAGACGGACUCCGCCAGGGUGAUUCGGUGUGCCUAUAUCAAGAUUCAAAACCACCUCCUUCCUCCCAGAUCGAAAUUCGAAACCCUCCAACAAAUCCAUCCCAGAUCAAGAAUUCGAGACCCUCCAACACGAACCCUAGAAAAAAAAAAUCCCCCUCUCUGUCUCGGCGAAAAACCCCAUCCCUCAGCCUGAUCAAGCCCACCAAUGGCGGCCGAUAGCAAGAAGACGAGCUCUACCUCCACCAACAACACGAGGAAGCCAAAGCAGCGGCGGCGGACUGGUCCGGCGACGGUGACAGUUCGCCGGAUCAAGCCCCUGAUGACGCGCUGGUCGAUCCAGAAGGUCCUGGAGCGCGAGAGGCGGCCUUUCGCCAUGGCCAAGGGCCGCUUCUUCGACGAGCUGAGCCCGGAGGAGAAGAUGGAGGCGGCCGCGGAGCAGGAGAAGGAGGAGGACGAGUCCAGGCGUUCCGGGCCAAGGUCCGCGCCGAGUUCCUCGCCACCCCACCGGGUUCGUCUCGUACCCCGUCCCCGAAGAGUUCAGGCUGGAGAUCCCUCUGGGAAUGGCAGUCAGCAGAGAAGUCCUGGAUUCGCGGUUCGAGAUUGGUUGCCGAGUCCUCGAGUCGCGGACGGAUCUUGGUUGUGUAGCGGUGAAACUGUAAAAAGAAAAGAAAAAAUGUAAACGAUUCAGGGAUGCUACUCGAUCCCUGAUUGUCGUGAUGUAUUUGGUCGUAAGAACUAGAUGAAAUAUAAUGUAAUGGAACCGUGCUGCUUUUCCAACAAGAAUGGGACGGAACCAACUGGUGCAACCAAAGAGAAUAUUUCCCUUGUACGCGGAACCGUCCGGUGACUUUCUCGUCUCCCGUGACUCUCCUUCUCGUCUCCCCUCCUCACCUCACCUCCUCUCCCGAAACUCGGACCCGGAUCGUCUAACGUGAAAGAGGGAAGUCAGAACUGAACGGAAAUCUGCCGUUGGCUGCACGUGAAAUCCAUCCAACGAGCCUGGCGAGUCCUCGAUUGUUCUCGGUCCAUGGCGCGCAAACAAAGAGCUCCACAGCGCGCGAAAUCCUUAGAUGGCUCCUCGCCUUCUUGUUUUUCUGGCGCCAAAACAAAGGCGUGGUUGAUCAUCUAAACUUGGACGGCGGAAGAAGCCGACGGCUCAGAGCACCGCACGUCGCCACCGCCGCCGAACUGCGCUCCGUUGUUACUGCCGUCGUUGUAGACCUAUAGUUGCUGUCAACUGCUCUCGAUCUCCAAUAAGGUAAACGACGAUGAGAUCGUUGGCUUUUCUUUUUCUCAUCUUCUUCCUUGGACUUCCUUCUUCCUCUCACCUUGUUUCCUACUCUUGCUUGUUUUCUUCGUCAGACCAGUACAUCGAAUUGUUAAAACCAUUAUGGAUAGCGAGAUCAACGAGGAAAAGCAGGCCAUGGCCGGUUCGAACGGAACAAAUGACAUACCAAGUUGGGUACCACAAAUUGGCAUGAAGUUCAACACUUUGGAUGAGGCUUGGUAUUUUUGGCAGCAUUACGGGGGUAGGAUUGGGUUUGGUGUCAGGAAGAGAUACUCAAAUGUAAGCAAGUUUGAUGGAACAAUUACUUCAAGCAGAUUUGUGUGUCGUAAAGAGGGUCUUUGGGCAAAAGACAAAAGAGAUAAGCACAUUAAGCAACCUCGAGCAGAAAUUAGGACCAAUUGCCAAGUUCGUAUGAGUCUUACAAUAGACCGAGAACUUGGAAAUUAUGAAGUUUAUGAUUUUGAUCUUGUACACAACCACAUGUUGCAGCUGCAAGAAACAUGCCACCUCAUGCCAUCACAGCGAAAAAUAUCUGAAAUUCAAGCUAUCGAGAUCGACAUUGCUGAUGAUUCAGGCAUUCAGCCCAAAGCUGCACAUGAGGCAGCUAGCCGGCGAGUUGGUGGAUCAUCCUUUAUUACCUAUACUCGCCAGUAUCACAAAAAUUACUUGCGUACCAAGCGCCAAAGGGAGCUAGCAUAUGGUGAAGCAGGGAGUAUGUUGAAGUAUUUUUCAAGAUAGAAUUGCUGAGAACACAUCAUUCCAAUAUGCCAUACAAUUGGACUGUGAAGAGCAGAUCACAAAUAUAUUUUGGGCUGAUGCUAAGAUGAUAAUCGAUUAUGCUCAUUUCGGUGAUGUUAUAACUUUUGACACUACUUUUGGAACAAAUAAAGAACAUAGGCUGUUUGGUGUA